This 1343-nucleotide ribosomal RNA is filed under the name Phalacrocorax carbo (great cormorant). RNAcentral's name for it is "Bacterial large subunit ribosomal RNA". It matches the Rfam family "Bacterial large subunit ribosomal RNA", at positions 506 to 2665 of the family's 2925-position model. The record is from Rfam by way of RNAcentral. Lineage: Eukaryota; Metazoa; Chordata; Aves; Suliformes; Phalacrocoracidae.
AGGGAAAGAUGAAGUAAUGAUGAAAAACCAAGAAACAAGCAGCAAAGACAAACCCUUGUACCUCUUGCAUCAUGAUUUAAUAAACACUACAAAGCAAAAUGAACUUAAGCUUGUCACCCCAAAACCCAAAUGAGCUACUUACAAGCAGCUAUCUCUGAGCAAACCCAUAUCUGUUGCAAAAGAGUGGGACGAUUUGUUAGUAGAGGCAAAAAGCCAACUGAGCUGGGUCAUACCUAUUUGUCUGUGAAAUGAAUCUAAGUUCUCUUAAUUCUUCUCCAUGGACAAUUCAAUCUAACUACUAUGUAGUGAAUCAAGAGCAAUUCAAAGGGGGUACAGCUCCUUUAAAAAAGAACACAAUCUCCCCUAGCAGAUAACUAAUCAACUCUUAUUCUCCAAACUGUAGACGAUCAAGCAGCCAUCAACAAAGAGUGUGUCAAAGCUCUACACCUAAAAAUCCAAAACCAGUACAACUCCCUUAUUGCUAACAGGCUAACUAUAACAAUAGGAGGACUAAUGCAAAAUGAGUAACUGGGGCCCCUCCGCUCUCAAGCACAAGCUUACACAUCUACAUUAUUAACAGACCACAGCUAAUACCACAAACCUAACAGGACUAGACAUUAAAUCCACCCUGUCUACUCAACUCAGGAGCACCCAUUAGAAAGAUGAAAAUCUGUAGAAGGAACUAGGCAAACCCAGGGCCCCACUCUUUACCAAAAACCAUAGCCUUCAGCCAACCAAGUAUUGAAGGUGAUGCUUGCCCAGUGACACCAUGUUUAAUGGCUGCAGUAUCCUAACAGUGUGAAGGUAGCACAAUCGAUUGUCCCAUAUAUCAAGACUUGUAUGAAUGGCUAAGCGAGGUCCUAACUGUCUCUUACAGAUAACCAGUGAAUUUGAUCUUUCUGUGUAAAAGCAGGAAUAAAUACAUAAGACAAGAAGACCCUGUGAAACUUAAAAAUCAGCGACCACUCCACAACAACUCAAACCUACCAGGUUCACCACCCUCAAAACACUGGCCUGCGUUUUUUGAUUGGGGCAAUCUUGGAGAAAAAUGAACCCUCCAAAACCAAGACCAUGCCUCCUAACCAAGAGCAACCUCUCAACCUACUAACAGUAACCAGACCCAAUAUGAUGGCUAUCUCUGGGUAGCCCAGAGAUAACAGUGCAAUCUCCUUCGAGAGCCCAUAUUGACAAAGAAGUUUGUGACCUUGGUGUUGGAUCAGGACAUCCUACUGGUGCAGCCACUAUUAAGGGUUCAUUUUUUCAGCGAGUAACAGCCUUACAUUAUCUGAGUUCAGGCUGUACCAAUCCAGGUCGGUUGCUAUCUGUGCAUGCACUUUCCCUAG